GUAAGAUCCCUGAAAGAUGAUCAGGUUGAUAGGUCAGAGGUGGAAGCACGGUGACGUGUGUAGCUGACUGAUACUAAUCGAUCGAGGACUUAACCAAAUU
This 100-nucleotide ribosomal RNA is filed under the name Priestia aryabhattai. RNAcentral's name for it is "Bacillus aryabhattai partial 23S ribosomal RNA". It matches the Rfam family "Bacterial large subunit ribosomal RNA", at positions 2828 to 2925 of the family's 2925-position model. The record is from RNAcentral. Lineage: Bacteria; Bacillati; Bacillota; Bacilli; Caryophanales; Bacillaceae.